GAGGGGAGGGGCGAAGGUGUUUCAGAAGCGUAAAGAGACGCCGUGGCUGAGGCAGGCCCUGCGACGACGGCGUCGGCCUCCGAGCGCAGCCGAAGCGUGCGCCCCGAGGAGCCGGGCAUUCUUAGGAGAAUGGUUGGAGGAGGAGCGCAACUUCCGGAAAAUCCAGAUUGCGUCGAGUGCAACACUUUUUGUGGCAGAUUCAUCACAUCACAAAAAGGAUCCGCCCAGUGUCAAAGAUGAUGCUUGAGAUUGAGACUACAAUUAAGUUGAGGAUUGUGACUAGGAGCAGGAGGGUGCCACAGCCUUGGACUCAGGAUGAAGCUGGAGACUCGAGGACCCAGGCACACUCAGGAGAGGGCAAGUAGCUGAUUUUCUGGGAUUUGGCCCAUAUAU
Molecule: long non-coding RNA, 393 nt
Organism: Motacilla alba alba
Lineage: Eukaryota; Metazoa; Chordata; Aves; Passeriformes; Motacillidae
Exons: 4
Source: RefSeq, a predicted model, not a curated record